Molecule: microRNA precursor, 205 nt
Filed under: Oryza glumipatula
Lineage: Eukaryota; Viridiplantae; Streptophyta; Magnoliopsida; Poales; Poaceae
Description: MIR812 microRNA precursor family
Rfam family: MIR812 microRNA precursor family
Source: Rfam by way of RNAcentral
AAAAAGGCAAACCCUGGGUUUCCGUGUCCAACUUUAACUGUCCGUCUUAUAUAAAUUUUUUUUAUAAUUCGUAUUUUCAUUGUUGUUAGAUGAUAAAACAUGAUUAAUAUUUUAUGCGUGACUUGUCUUUUUAAUUUUUUUCAUAAUUUUUUCAAAUAAGACGGACGGUCAAACGUUGGGCACGGAAACCAGGGUUUGUCUUUUU